Molecule: non-coding RNA, 325 nt
Organism: Fukomys damarensis (Damara mole-rat)
Lineage: Eukaryota; Metazoa; Chordata; Mammalia; Rodentia; Bathyergidae
Source: Rfam
GGAUGUGAGGGUGAUCUGGCUGUGACAUCUGUUACCCCAUUGAUCGCCAGGGUUGAUUCGGCUGACCUGGCUGGCUAGGCAGGCGUCCCCUUCCUCCCUCACUGCUCCAUGUGCGUCCCUCCCGAAGCCGCACGCUCCGUUGAAGAGGACGACCACCCCCCAUAGAGGAGAACGGUUUCCUCAGUCAAAGGUAUACAAGUAACUGCACUCGCCUGCUGGAACCUCCAAACAAGAUCUCAGCGACAAUGCCACAGAGAGGGGGGCCAUGGAGCUCAGCCUGCCUCAGCCUCUGCCUCAGCUCCAGGGUCUACCAGUGUAGGUGAGA